This 293-nucleotide ribosomal RNA is filed under the name uncultured bacterium. RNAcentral's name for it is "partial 16S ribosomal RNA". It matches the Rfam family "Archaeal small subunit ribosomal RNA", at positions 455 to 747 of the family's 1478-position model. The record is from RNAcentral.
GUGCCAGCCGCCGCGGUAACACCGGCAGCCCAAGUGAUGGCCGAUAUUAUUGGGCCUAAAGCGUCCGUAGCUGGCCGCACAAGUCCGUCGGGAAAUCCACUCGCUUAACGAGUGGGCGUCCGGCGGAAACUGUGCGGCUUGGGACCGGAAGGCUCGAAGGGUACGUUCGGGGUAGGAGUGAAAUCCUAUAAUCCCGCACGGACCACCGAUGGCGAAAGCACUUCGAGAAAACGGAUCCGACAGUGAGGGACGAAAGCCAGGGUCUCCAACCGGAUUAGAUACCCGAGUAGUCC